RNAcentral lists this ribosomal RNA (397 nucleotides) under Novocrania huttoni. RNAcentral describes it as "partial 16S ribosomal RNA". The stretch from base 41 to 397 matches the Rfam family "Bacterial large subunit ribosomal RNA", at positions 2048 to 2597 of the family's 2925-position model. The record is from RNAcentral. Lineage: Eukaryota; Metazoa; Brachiopoda; Craniata; Craniida; Craniidae.
GUGGGAGUAGCUGUCUUCUGGGCAUAUAUAGAACUUAUUUUGUAGGUGAAUAGACCUUUUUUUGGUUUCGGGACGGGUAGACCCCGAUGAGCUUGAUAGCGGGUGAUAGGUUUUCAGCUAAGGUUUAGAUUAAUUAACUUGGUGUUAGGCUGUUACUUCUUUUGUUGGGAGAACCGAGAUCAUGAAUAAAUGAUUCCACUUUUUGAUGUAUUAAUAAUUAUGUUGACCUUUAUUGAAAGACAAUUUUUAGUUAGAAAAUGCUACCGCGGGGAUAACAGCACUAUCCUUUCGGAGAGAAUAAAUUGCAGAGAGGGUUUAUGACCUCGAUUUUGGGUCAGAUGAUUCUGGGUGAUAUAAGAGCUCGCCCAAUGAUGGACUGUUCGUCCUUUAAAUUUCU